This is a long non-coding RNA of Orcinus orca (killer whale), 171 nucleotides long. RefSeq lists it as uncharacterized. NCBI's taxonomy places the organism in Eukaryota, Metazoa, Chordata, Mammalia, Artiodactyla, Delphinidae. The record is from RefSeq and is a predicted model, not a curated record. The transcript has 3 exons.
GCCACUGUAGAGACCCAGGAAAGAACCAAUGAAGGCCAUGGCCAUGGAGAUGGAGGAUGGCAACUGUGGAAGACUAGAAGCACAUUGAUGUGAUGGCAAAGUCCAUUUGCACUGUUUAUUUAAAAAGAACAGCCGUAAGAGUUCAAGGCUUGGACCUGCAGAGAAACAGCG